AUGUCUGCGCUAGAGUUCUCUUGUUUCCCAACACUUGCAUCUCGACUUGAUGGUGUUUUCCCGAAAGGGCGGAAAGGCAGCAGCAGCCUGUGGCCGACGCGGGCUCCCAGGUAUCUGGCCGUUCCCCCACGGGCAGCGAGCGCCUCAGGCAGGCCCACUCCGCGCGGAGGGUGUGUGUGUGUGUGUGUGUGUGUGUGUGUGUGUGUGUGUCCCACACGGAGCCCGAGGAGCCUUGCCCACUUCCACCUGCCGGCGCUGCCCGGCCCCAGCCCCGGCCCCGCUCCCGCUCUCCACUCCACUUGGGAAGUCAGGACGGUCCCCGCCCAGGAGGCACCGGGCUCCGUCCCGGCCGCGGGCAGUCACCUGGGUCGCCGUGGGGAGCCGCAGCCUGCCUGCAGGAACCUCGCGGCCACCGGCCCGAGGGGGAAAACCAGGGAGCCCCAGCUCCCGCCGCCCCGCUCUCCCGGCCGCACAGAUGGCAGCAGGUUCAGCACCGCGGACCGGGGCGAGCGCGGCGCCCGCAGCCCGCAGCCCGCAGCCCGCAGCCCGCAGCCCGGCCGGGGCGCGCGGGGCUCCCGGGGCGGGCGCGCGGCGGGGGCGCCGAGGGAGGGUGGGUGCGGGGCGCGCGGGGCGGCGGGGCGCGCGGGGCGGCGCUGCCUCCCCCCUCCCGCCGCCCGGAUUUACCUCCUCGGCCAAGGUCACGGCCCCGCGGCGUCUGCCCUCCGGGGCGGGCUGGGAGCCGGCGCUGUCAGCUGGCGGCGAGCGGAGCAGCGAGAGGGGGCAGCCUCAUCACACUCGGCGGAUGCGGAACCGCGCCGCCCGGGCGACCGCCGCCGCCGCCGCCGCCGCCGCCGCCGCCACCGUGCACGGGCGGCCCCGGCAGCCCGCCGCUCGCGCCCGCUCCCCCCCGCGCCCCGCCGCCCGGCCGGCAGCUCCCUCCGCCGCUCUGCUCCGGGCGCGGGGACCCGCCGGGCGCGCGCGGGAGCCGAGACGCCGGCCCGUGCGCGCGCCUGGGAGGCGGGAGGCGGGAGGCGGGAGGCGGGAGGCGGGAGGAGGGCGGUCACGUGGGCCCGGCGGCCGGAGGUGCGGGCUCGCAGGCGCGGGGCUGUGCGCGUCCGCCCCGCCCGGGCCCCUGGGGGCACUCGCCGCGGGGCCGGCGGAGUCGGCGCGGCGGGCGGCGGCCGGAAGGGCAGGGCGGGCGGGCGGAUGGAGGGAUGCAGGGAUGGAGGGAUGGAGGCACGGAGGGAUGCAGGGAGCCCCGCGCCGCCGGAGCGCUUCAUCACGUGCCUGCUGGCGCCGCCGACAGUGCGAGGGCAGCAGAUGAUUGAUGAUCGCCGGGCUUAA
RNAcentral lists this long non-coding RNA (1344 nucleotides) under Canis lupus familiaris (dog). RNAcentral's name for it is "lncRNA (ENSCAFG00845004340.1)". Lineage: Eukaryota; Metazoa; Chordata; Mammalia; Carnivora; Canidae. The record is from RNAcentral.